AACGAACGUUGGCGGCGUGGAUGAGGCAUGCAAGUCGAACGUGAAAGCCGCAAGGUGAGUAAAGUGGCGGACGGGCGAGUAACACGUAAUCAAGCUACCCGCGAGACGGGGAUAACCUCGGGAAACCGAGGCUAAGACCGGAUGGUUUGCAAGGAUCGCAUGGUUUUUGCAAUAAAUGGACGGGAUCCUUCGGGACCGUCUGCUCGCGGAGGUGAUUGCGGCCCAUCAGUUAGUUGGUAGGGUAACGGCCUACCAAGACUACGACGGGUAGCCGGCCUUAGAGGGUGGUCGGCCGCACUGGGACUGAGACACUGCCCAGACUCCUACGGGAGGCUGCAGUCGAGAAUCUUCCGCAAUGGGCGAAAGCCUGACGGAGCGACGCCGCGUGGAGGACGAAGGCCUUCGGGUUGUAAACUCCUGUCACGAGUUAAGAAGGGGCUGCGACGAACAGUCGUAGACUUUGACGUAAGCUCGAGAGGAAGCACUGGCUAACUCUGUG
This 499-nucleotide ribosomal RNA is filed under the name uncultured organism. RNAcentral describes it as "bacterial SSU rRNA". It matches the Rfam family "Bacterial small subunit ribosomal RNA", at positions 29 to 507 of the family's 1533-position model. The record is from RNAcentral.